Molecule: unclassified non-coding RNA, 298 nt
Filed under: Athalia rosae (coleseed sawfly)
Lineage: Eukaryota; Metazoa; Arthropoda; Insecta; Hymenoptera; Athaliidae
Description: misc RNA ENSAEAG00005007426.1
Source: RNAcentral
AAAAAACCACCGUCUACCCACCGUACGAGCGGGGCGAAGGAAAUACUUGGGCGAAAAAGUGGAAAGCGAUCGAUCCGCAUUUUCAGAAGUCACGGUGCGAUGUAUUACGAGUCGUGGCCUUCAAUCAGUCACCACGGUGGCCAGUUCAUCGCAGUACUCAUUCAACGUCCAACCACGAAGGGCAGGAGUUAUACAUGGCAUCGCACAAUUCGUUCACAGGUAUCCGAAGAUGCUGCCGCCGUAGCUGCUGUUUGACCGGACUCCCCCUGUUCAUCAGGGGGAGUCCACCGUCCCCUGG